CAGCAGCCACGGUAAUACGAAGGGGGCUAGCGUUGUUCGGAAUUACUGGGCGUAAAGCGCACGUAGGCGGAUACUUAAGUCAGGGGUGAAAUCCCGGGGCUCAACCCCGGAACUGCCUUCGAUACUGGGUAUCUCGAGUCCGGAAGAGGUGAGUGGAAUUCCGAGUGUAGAGGUGAAAUUCGUAGAUAUUCGGAGGAACACCAGUGGCGAAGGCGGCUCACUGGUCCGGUACUGACGCUGAGGUGCGAAAGCGUGGGGAGCAAACAGGAUUAGAUACCCCCGUAGUCCCUGUCUCUUAUAC
Molecule: ribosomal RNA, 301 nt
Filed under: uncultured bacterium
Lineage: Bacteria
Description: partial 16S ribosomal RNA
Rfam family: Bacterial small subunit ribosomal RNA
Source: RNAcentral